Molecule: ribosomal RNA, 692 nt
Filed under: uncultured Microbacteriaceae bacterium
Lineage: Bacteria; Bacillati; Actinomycetota; Actinomycetes; Micrococcales; Microbacteriaceae
Description: bacterial SSU rRNA
Rfam family: Bacterial small subunit ribosomal RNA
Source: RNAcentral
GGCGAACGGGUGAGUAACACGUGAGAAAUCUGCCCCUGACUCUGGGAUAACUGCGGGAAACUGUAGCUAAUACCGGAUACUUUCCCUGGUGGGCAUCCACUGGGGAAGAAAGAAUUUCGGUCAGGGAGGAUCUCGCGGCCUAUCAGCUAGUUGGUGAGGUAACGGCUCACCAAGGCGACGACGGGUAACCGGCCUGAGAGGGUGACCGGUCACACUGGGACUGAGACACGGCCCAGACUCCUACGGGAGGCAGCAGUGGGGAAUAUUGCACAAUGGGCGCAAGCCUGAUGCAGCAACGCCGCGUGAGGGAUGAAGGCCUUCGGGUUGUAAACCUCUUUUAGCAGGGAAGAAGCGAAAGUGACGGUACCUGCAGAAAAAGCACCGGCUAACUACGUGCCAGCAGCCGCGGUAAUACGUAGGGUGCAAGCGUUGUCCGGAAUUAUUGGGCGUAAAGAGCUCGUAGGCGGUUUGUCACGUCUGCUGUGAAAAUCCAAGGCUCAACCUUGGACUUGCAGUGGGUACGGGCAGGCUAGAGUGCGGUAGGGGAGAUGGGAAUUCCUGGUGUAGCGGUGGAAUGCGCAGAUAUCAGGAGGAACACCAAUGGCGAAGGCACAUCUCUGGGCCGUAACUGACGCUGAGGAGCGAAAGCGUGGGGAGCGAACAGGAUUAGAUACCCUGGUAGUCCACGCCGU